This 451-nucleotide ribosomal RNA is filed under the name uncultured bacterium. RNAcentral describes it as "bacterial SSU rRNA". It matches the Rfam family "Bacterial small subunit ribosomal RNA", at positions 29 to 524 of the family's 1533-position model. The record is from RNAcentral.
AACGAACGCUGGCGGCAUGCCUAACACAUGCAAGUCGAACGAAGCCUUCGGGCUUAGUGGCGCACGGGUGCGUAACGCGUGGGAAUCUGCCCUUGGGUUCGGAAUAACAGUUAGAAAUGACUGCUAAUACCGAAUGAUGUCUUCGGACCAAAAGAUUUAUCGCCCAAGGAUGAGCCCGCGUCGGAUUAGCUAGUUGGUGAGGUAAAGGCUCACCAAGGCGACGAUCCGUAGCUGGUCUGAGAGGAUGAUCAGCCACACUGGGACUGAGACACGGCCCAGACUCCUACGGGAGGCAGCAGUGGGGAAUAUUGGACAAUGGGCGAAAGCCUGAUCCAGCAAUGCCGCGUGAGUGAUGAAGGCCUUAGGGUUGUAAAGCUCUUUUACCCGGGAUGAUAAUGACAGUACCGGGAGAAUAAGCCCCGGCUAACUCCGUGCCAGCAGCCGCGGUAAU